UGUUCUCUCAACAGCUGCCACAGAAUAGCAGGAAUAUAACAGGUUAUCAUUUCUUCUUUUAAAGACCUCAAAAAUAAAACAAGAGACCCAAAUUCUCAAUUUGGAAAAUUCUCCUGUGACAUCAGUGCCCAGAGGCUUCGGAGGUGAUAAUUCCUGAGCCGAAGGUACUCUAAAGCUGUCUGGAGCCAGGAAAUAUCUGCCUAAGGAAACUAAUCCUGGUUACAUGACAACACAAAUGUCCCGGCAACUUCACAUCAGCCGUUGCUAUGGCGUCUGUGUUUUAGGACGGUACUUCCUGAGGAUUAGAGCGCUGUUUCUGAUGAGUUCUGCCUGUCUCUUCAGACUUCCAGGGAGCCAUAGGAACCAUGAGUGAUGAAAUCAGAGGGCCAUCCUGAGCCCACCCACUCUUCAAUGGCCCUGGGGAAGCUGGUCCUGUCCCUCACUGGACAUUGCAGCAAGAGAACUGGCCCCGACCCUCACUGGAGAGCUGGACCCCCCACACUCAAGAGGGAUGGCCCUGCCCCUCACCACGGGCAAGGGAGAACUGACCCUGAAGACAUGGGCUUAUGGAAACUGGCUCUGCCCUUCGCCUGAGGGAGAUGGCCCCAGUGGCCCGGAUUGGCCAGCUCAGCUAUUACUCAGUCCCACAGCUGGGUCUUGGGUUGGUUCACCCUAACAUCUACCCCAACUAGGACCUGCUGUGGAACCAUACCCACAGGAUCUCCAUGAAUUGGGGUGGCCAAGAUACCCAAGAGGAGUUUCAGUGAGGAUCCAGGAAUGAUGAUGUAUCAGAAACCAGAGGCCUUGAGCCAAACCAAUGCCAGGAUACCUUUCCAUUGAAGCUGUAAUGCUUACAAAAGGUAUCUCUGUCCCCUAGAAACUUACAAUUGUUAUUUAAAUACGUGCUUUGGGUAGGAGAGUUGUCUCAGAGGAUAAAAGUGCUUGCCAUCAACUCAUGAUCUGAAUUCCAUCCCCAGAUUCCACAUGAUAGGAGAGAAAAGUUGACCUCUGAUCUCCAGAAGUGCACAGUGUAUACACACACACACACACACACACACACACACACACACACACACACACGAAUUAAUGUGAAAAAUAAACACAGUUGAUGGGCUGGGGAGUUGACUCAGUAGGUAGAGUUCUUGCUGUGCAAGCUUGAGGACCUGAGUUUGGAUCCCGAAGGCUCUCUCUGGCCUCCACACACACAGGCAAAUGCACGGACGAGCACAUACACACAACACAAGUAAAGGGAAGGAAGAACUGCAAAUGAUCCGGAAGCACAUUUAAAAUUCACUAGAAAUCCAGGAAAUGAAACCCGAUGACAGAGAGCCCGCGUUCACCUGUGGGACUCACGAACAUUUCUCUACCAUUCAGGAAAGCAUGCAUUUUUAAUGCUCCUAGAGGGGUGUAAAGUGGUGUGACUUCUCAGAAAGGACAUCUGGCAACAGGAAGUAAAAUCCUCAGAAGGUUCAUAACUUUCUCUACUGGAAUUUCCAUAAUUAAGAAAUAAACAUUAUACUUUAUAAUAGGCAAAAACUGGAAACUAUCCAAACGUUCGGUGAUACAGCAUUGACUGAGUUAUUGAAUAUUCAUUAGUAAAAUGUGUGCAGAAAUUAAACACCAUGUUUUCAAAAAACAAAUUUCACAAUGUUCACACCAUAUUGUUGAAUAAAAAGCAGAUGACUAUACAACUGCGCAUAGCAUGAGCUCGAAAGUUGCACAUAUAUCCAUAAAUUUUAAGAUUGUUGCAUAUUUCCGUGUUCUUCUAAAAUC
Molecule: long non-coding RNA, 1773 nt
Organism: Peromyscus californicus insignis
Lineage: Eukaryota; Metazoa; Chordata; Mammalia; Rodentia; Cricetidae
Exons: 3
Source: RefSeq, a predicted model, not a curated record